CUUGACACUGAACAUUGAGCCUUGAUGUGUAGGAUAGGUGGGAGGCUUUGAAGCGUGGACGCCAGUCUGCGUGGAGCCGACCUUGAAAUACCACCCUUUAAUGUUUGAUGUUCUAACGUUGGCCCCUUACCGGGGUUGCGGACAGUGUCUGGUGGGUAGUUUGACUGGGGCGGUCUCCUCCCAAAGGUUGACGGGGGGGCACGAAG
This 206-nucleotide ribosomal RNA is filed under the name Klebsiella pneumoniae. RNAcentral's name for it is "partial 23S ribosomal RNA". It matches the Rfam family "Bacterial large subunit ribosomal RNA", at positions 2110 to 2315 of the family's 2925-position model. The record is from RNAcentral. Lineage: Bacteria; Pseudomonadati; Pseudomonadota; Gammaproteobacteria; Enterobacterales; Enterobacteriaceae.